This 513-nucleotide long non-coding RNA is filed under the name Olea europaea subsp. europaea. The record is from RNAcentral. Lineage: Eukaryota; Viridiplantae; Streptophyta; Magnoliopsida; Lamiales; Oleaceae.
AAAAGGUUGAGAAAAAAUGAUGAGUUCAUUUGAUAUAAAACUUCUUGUGCUGUCAAUGAAUUUACUCUUCGUCGCCCUAUUAGAAGCAAAGGCGCAUGUGACUAUUAUAGAUAACGUGAAGAGAGGUACUCUUACGAUUCAUUGUUUUUCCAAAGACAAUGAUCUUGGAACCCACAAUCUAGCAUACGGCAAGUCUUUUCAAUUCAGUUUUUUGCCCAACUUUUGGGGCAAUACCAAGUUUUUUUGCACCUUCACCACUCAGUUCGGUUCAGGAAACUAUGCUGUUUUUGAUCGUCGAAUGGAAAUUCAAAGAUGUGAUCAUGACUGUGUGUGGUACAUAGUGGAGAACGGGCCAUGUUUAGUGCAAAGCAAGCGGCAAGACUUGUGGUGUCAACCGUGGAAGAAUCCAAAAAAAUGGUUGCAUGAAACACAUCAUAAUUGAGUGACUAAAUGCGAUAUAUCAUUGAAGGCAUUUCUAGUUGAAGUGCAUUCUUCUCUUCUAAUUGUUGUUGG